Molecule: ribosomal RNA, 683 nt
Filed under: Debaryomyces hansenii
Lineage: Eukaryota; Fungi; Ascomycota; Pichiomycetes; Serinales; Debaryomycetaceae
Description: partial large subunit ribosomal RNA
Rfam family: Eukaryotic large subunit ribosomal RNA
Source: RNAcentral
AGAAUCCCGUGCGAUGAGAUGCCCAAUUCUAUGUAAAGUGCUUUCGAAGAGUCGAGUUGUUUGGGAAUGCAGCUCUAAGUGGGUGGUAAAUUCCAUCUAAAGCUAAAUAUUGGCGAGAGACCGAUAGCGAACAAGUACAGUGAUGGAAAGAUGAAAAGAACUUUGAAAAGAGAGUGAAAAAGUACGUGAAAUUGUUGAAAGGGAAGGGCUUGAGAUCAGACUUGGUAUUUUGCGAUCCUUUCCUUCUUGGUUGGGUUCCUCGCAGCUUACUGGGCCAGCAUCGGUUUGGAUGGUAGGAUAAUGACUAAGGAAUGUGGCUCUACUUCGGUGGAGUGUUAUAGCCUUGGUUGAUACUGCCUGUCUAGACCGAGGACUGCGUCUUUUGACUAGGAUGUUGGCAUAAUGAUCUUAAGCCACCCGUCUUGAAACACGGACCAAGGAGUCUAACGUCUAUGCGAGUGUUUGGGUGUAAAACCCGUACGCGUAAUGAAAGUGAACGUAGGUGAGAGCUCUUAAGAGUGCAUCAUCGACCGAUCCUGAUGUCUUCGGAUGGAUUUGAGUAAGAGCAUAGCUGUUGGGACCCGAAAGAUGGUGAACUAUGCCUGAAUAGGGUGAAGCCAGAGGAAACUCUGGUGGAGGCUCGUAGCGGUUCUGACGUGCAAAUCGAUCGUCGAAUUUGGGUA